CAAAUUAUUGUAAGCUUUACCUACUGUUAUGAGCAAUGGGUUGUUUUUAGUUGUUAGUACAAAGACAUGACUGCAGUUGCUUACAUAAAUAAUAGAGACUUUUUUUUUUUUUUUUCCUUAGGAAAAACCUAGAAGUAGCCCAGGGACAUCCACAGGUUCAUCAGUGACUUCCUUUCUGUUACACCAUCCUUGGCAUGUAGCAUCCCUCCUUAAGUUUACCUCAUGGUCAAAAACGGCUGCUGCAACCCUUGCAAUCUUGUUUGUAUUUGAGGGUGGAUUCUUAUUCAACAAAACCCUCGAAAUGACUCAGCUGUCAAUUAGAAAAGAAAGGAACAAUUGGAAAGGAGGAGGAGGAUGA
Bubalus bubalis (water buffalo) is the source of this 358-nucleotide long non-coding RNA. RefSeq lists it as uncharacterized. The transcript has 2 exons. The record is from RefSeq and is a predicted model, not a curated record. Lineage: Eukaryota; Metazoa; Chordata; Mammalia; Artiodactyla; Bovidae.